This 67-nucleotide transfer RNA is filed under the name Ifremeria nautilei. RNAcentral describes it as "tRNA-Gln". The record is from RNAcentral. Lineage: Eukaryota; Metazoa; Mollusca; Gastropoda; Provannidae.
UUACGAAGCGGUGUUUGGGCACGAAGAAUUUUGAUUUCUUAAGAGAGGGUCGUUCCCUCCUGGUAAA